RNAcentral lists this ribosomal RNA (207 nucleotides) under uncultured bacterium. RNAcentral's name for it is "partial 16S ribosomal RNA". It matches the Rfam family "Bacterial small subunit ribosomal RNA", at positions 568 to 774 of the family's 1533-position model. The record is from RNAcentral.
CUCGUAGGCGGCUCUGUAAGUCGGGGGUGAAAGACCACGGCUCAACCGUGGAAACGCCUUCGAAACUGCGGAGCUUGAGGCCGGGAGAGGAGAUCGGAAUUCCUGGUGUAGCGGUGAAAUGCGUAGAUAUCAGGAGGAACACCGGUGGCGAAGGCGGAUCUCUGGACCGGUUCUGACGCUCAGGAGCGAAAGCUAGGGGAGCAAACA